Molecule: transfer RNA, 92 nt
Filed under: Alphaproteobacteria bacterium MarineAlpha5_Bin12
Lineage: Bacteria; Pseudomonadati; Pseudomonadota; Alphaproteobacteria
Also listed under: 1 other name
Description: tRNA-Ser
Rfam family: tRNA
About the family: Transfer RNA (tRNA) molecules are approximately 80 nucleotides in length. Their secondary structure includes four short double-helical elements and three loops (D, anti-codon, and T loops).
Source: RNAcentral
GGAGGGAUGGGUGAGUGGCUUAAACCAGUGGUUUGCUAAACCGCCGAAGGAUUAAUAUUCUUCCGAGGGUUCGAAUCCCUCUCCCUCCGCCA